AAACUACAAGGGGAGCCGAAGCUCCCCCAGAAGUAGUUGCGUGCUCUAUUUUUAUUAUUGAUUGCGGGCUUCUUGUUUUUGUUGAUCGCCCUCGCCAUGAAGCUUCACCUUCAUGACACUCCCAAUCGGGAGUCAAGAGCAAACGGAUUGCUUUGGUCGCUGUGUUGCUGAUCUACGAUCCAACCAGUUCAGGCUCUGCCUUAGGGCAGUU
This 211-nucleotide small RNA is filed under the name Pseudomonas tolaasii NCPPB 2192. Its description in RNAcentral is "Pseudomonas sRNA P29". Lineage: Bacteria; Pseudomonadati; Pseudomonadota; Gammaproteobacteria; Pseudomonadales; Pseudomonadaceae. The record is from RNAcentral.